Long non-coding RNA from Ailuropoda melanoleuca (giant panda), 1014 nucleotides. The record is from Ensembl. NCBI's taxonomy places the organism in Eukaryota, Metazoa, Chordata, Mammalia, Carnivora, Ursidae.
GGACCCCCCCCCUUCAAUCCCUUAAGUCCCCUCCUCACCCCCACCUAGCCUAUCUUUAACCUCUCAUACCCUUCCCUCCCGAGGAGGUGACCGUACAAAAGCCCCUCACGGAGACAGAGCCCUUGAUGGGGGCGCUGGGUUCCCGGGCCACUGCGGACACUGCCCCCUCCCCCUUUCCCUCCUCCAGGUUUCAGGCCAACCCCUCGGCUCCGCCCCCUCCCUGGCGGAACGCUAGGCAGGACCCACUUGAGAUGGGCGGGUGCGCAGGCCAAUGGGCGGGCAGGGCGGUGGAGUGCAGGGGGCGGGGCGGAGCCGCAGCGGAGGGCAGGAUGGGGGUCGGGGGCGGAGCCCGAGUUAAGGUGGACUGGAAGAGAUAGGGGCUGGAGGAGAAAGAGGGAGAGGGAGGGGGAGAGGGACCGCGGCAGGUGGAGGGAGAAAGAGACCGAAGGAAAGAAGGAGGGAAAAAGAGGAGGGUGGGAAAGGCUCGGAGAGCAAAGUAAAAGCUUGGAGGAAGGGAGCGAAAAGGGAGGGAGGGACCCAUCUGCGCCCUGCAGGGACUGGCUGGACCAAGGGGUUGAAGUUUAUAUCCUUAUUGGGCGGAGGGAGGGGGGACCUGGGGGNNNNNNNNNNNNNNNNNNNNNNNNNNNNNGAGGGAUGGGGGGAAAGCCAGCGGGAGGACAGGUGAGACAGCAGGACAGGACCGGAGCAGGGCCCCAAGCCCCCGGGCCCGGCGGGGGACGCGCUUCUCUCCACACCCUGUGCUUCAGCAGUUCCGGCCGGCGGACCCAAAGGCGGAGAGGAAAACAUGGGGAGCCCUGAGGACGACCUCAUCGGGAUCCCCUUCCCCGACCACAGCAGUGAGCUCCUGAGCUGCCUCAAUGAACAGCGGCAGCUGGGCCACCUCUGCGACCUCACCAUCCGGACGCAGGGCCUGGAAUACCGCACCCACCGGGCCGUGCUGGCCGCCUGCAGCCACUACUUCAAGAAGCUCUUCACCGAGGGGGGCCGGCGGGG